Molecule: ribosomal RNA, 414 nt
Filed under: uncultured bacterium
Lineage: Bacteria
Description: bacterial SSU rRNA
Rfam family: Bacterial small subunit ribosomal RNA
Source: RNAcentral
AAUGAACGCUGGCGGCGCGCCUAAUACAUGCAAGUCGAGCGAGAAGACGUAGCAAUACGUUUGUAAAGCGGCGAACGGGUGAGGAAUACAUGGGUAACCUACCCUCGAGUGGGGAAUAACUAGCCGAAAGGUUAGCUAAUACCGCGUACGCUUCUUGGACUUCGGUUCAGGGAGGAAAGCGAUACCGUGGGUAUCGCGCUCUUGGAUGGGCUCAUGUCCUAUCAGCUUGUUGGUGAGGUAACGGCUCACCAAGGCUUCGACGGGUAGCUGGUCUGAGAGGACGAUCAGCCACACUGGCACUGCGACACGGGCCAGACUCCUACGGGAGGCAGCAGUAAGGAAUAUUGCGCAAUGGGCGAAAGCCUGACGCAGCGACGCCGCGUGGGGGAUGAAGGUCUUCGGAUUGUAAACCCC